This 2867-nucleotide long non-coding RNA is filed under the name Sus scrofa (pig). RNAcentral describes it as "lncRNA (ENSSSCG00030062087.1)". The record is from RNAcentral. Lineage: Eukaryota; Metazoa; Chordata; Mammalia; Artiodactyla; Suidae.
UACAUGCUGCCUGAAGAGAAGUGUGUCCUUUGUAAAAGUUAUCAGUCUUACCUAUAACUUUUUGAAAGUUAUGCAAGUAACAAAAGAUGACAAUGUUGCCAUAAAAGAUUCAAAUGUAGAGCCACACACAGCAAGAUGGAAAGGGUCCUUGAGGGCCAUUGAGCAUUGAGGCUCUCCUAUUUUACGCCAAGGACAAUAGCUUGGUGUAGGUCAUUUCACCCUCUACCUCCUCUCCUGUGCUCCAGAUAGUUCGGAAGGAGAAGUCAAUGGUUUUUCCUUUUAAUGUUCACUCCCUCUCUCUUCUUUUCAAUAGUUACUGAAAAUCUCCUAUGGACCAGACACCAUAACCAUGGCAGGCACCAUGCCAGCCACUAAGUGGAACGAAGUCAACUGAUUCAUUCAACAGUUAAAUUCAUGACUAUGAUUCUUGCUCACCCAUCAUCAAGCUGAUCAAUUCUUGAUCAACCAUAUAGUAAACCAUGCUAGACGCUGAGUAACACAGAGAAGCAUCGAGAUGAGCCCACAGUUAGGUAUGACCAGACUAAUAGACCAGCACUUAAGAGUGAGGCACUGUAGAGUUUGCAUGAAAUCAUAAGGAUAAUAAGAGAUCAGAGUAUCUGGACCAGAGGAGGGCUGCAUACAGCAGGACCCGGGUAUGGUGGAAAUGGAGGUCUGGCAAGUUCGGGAAAGCUUGGUGAAUCUUGGUGAAGAGGGCACAGGAGGUCAACUUAGGCAGGAGAAACAGAAGGAGCAAAGGUGUGAAAGGGAAGAUGAGCAUAGCAGGAGCAAGAGAGAGUGAGGAAAUCAGUUGGCUCCAGAAUAGGGUGCAGUGGAAAAUACUGUUGAACAUGUAUGGAUGGUCUAACUUUUUAACUCUGAGUUUUGAAAACCAGGCAGAGAUAUUUGGACUUGAUAUAAUAAGAAGAGGGAGCUGUGCCAGAUUUUUUUUUUCAUUUUAUUUGUAAAAUGUUCAUAUAUCAGGAAUAGUUCAAAGAAUUGUACACUUAACACCCUACACACAUCAUGUGGACUCUGUAAUUUACAAGUCAAUGUAUUUGCUUUAUCCCUGUCUAAUCAUCCCUGUACCUAGUUAUUAACCUGCCUUGUGUUUUUGGCUUGUUUUGGGUUUUGGUUUUGUGGUAGAUUUUUAAUUCCUAUUCUUUCAAAGGAAUCUUGAGUCCUUUGCCAAGUUCCGCAAGAAUACUUAUGGAAUUGUGAUAGGCAUUACACAAAACUUGUCAAUCCAUGUGAAAGGUAUUUACAUUUUUUUAAUUAUCUGGUUUCCUUCUCAGGAAACUAGUCUCAGCAAGGUUUUGUGUUUUAUAUUUCAUUCUUCCUCCUUGCGUGGGUUUCGCCAAUUCAUGAUCAAACGUAUUCUUAGGUCUUUUAUUGGUGAUGUGAAUAUCUUCCCCUCCAACCAGCGUUUUAUGUUUCUAACUGAUGGCCCGGAUCUUUCAUCUUUUGUUUUCUCCUAGCCAGACUUUGUUCAUCUUGCAUGUUUCUCAUAUCCAAGACUCCACGAUAACCUGGAUUCACAGUGCCAGGUACAGGCCUGAGAUGAGGCAACCAUACACACAAACUAGCCUUCUUCUUAACAGUCCAUUGUUAGUUAUUCAUAAGAAAAGACAUAUUUCUCAGUACUUGUUUACUCUUUUGCUAACUUAACAUAGAGAAUAACCAUUUACUCAAAAAAGUUAAAGAGUCGGGGAAUAGAAGACCUGGCAAUUGACAAAAAUUUACAGCCCAAAGUAAGUCUAUGGCCUUCUUCAACAGUUGGUAGCAUUCAUUUCUGGAAUUAAACAUUUAUUUUCUUUAGAGAAUAAAAAGCUGGAAUACAAAGACUGGUUAUUUAAAAGUAAAGAUGAAAGAGAGGGGAUGUGAGAAAAUGUCAUUUUCAUCUAAAACAGAUAAUCAAAUGGAAAGCUGUGUGGCACAUACUUUGAGCAAGACAAGGCCAUCUUUCCCUUCAGUCAUAGUCCUUGAGUCAACAAUGAAUGGUCAGAACUUUUAAAUAAAUAUUUCUUUUUCAGCUAAGUACAGAAUAUAAAUGUUUUCAUUUUGCUUUAAAAUUCAUUUUAUAGUGAAUAGAUUUAAGUGUUUCAAAAAGCAAAUGACUAUAAUUAGGAAUUUCACUCCCUCUUGUUCUUCAUGGCCACUCCCUAUAAUUUAUUUAUCUACUUAUUUAUGUACGUAUUUAUUUAUAGAGAGCACACUUUAGUAGAUUUGCACUUCCUCCCAGUGUUUCCUUACCCAAAUACAAAUACCUCUUUGUAUUUUUUUCACUUUUAUAUUCUAAAGUGAGCAUGGUACACACAUUGAUCUAAGCUUGCUUUUUCUCUGAACCAGAGUGGGUUUUUUGUUGCACUUUACUGGAAAGUCAGUUUUAUGAUAUUGGCCCAUGACAUUGGAAUUUACAUGUGCAUCGUUAUUCACCACUGACAGUUUCAGAGGGACAAAACUAAGUAAAGGACUGAGGGAUGCGUAAAGAAUCCAGCCUCUGAGGGGCAUUUGCUUUUGGAAAGGUGCUGAACUCUUUCACUGAAAGGAUAAAGCCUCCAAUGGAUUGGUAAGGAGGUUUGUUUAUUUGACUUAAACCAGUAUCCCCACUAUAACUGAAUUAUGCUCUCAGUAGAGCCCGUUUUAAAGAGCUGUGCUCAAAGAGCCCAAUGCAUGGGUCUCAUCGUUGAAAGGAUGAGCCUUGCUCAGACAGAAACCCUCAAAACCACAAACUGUACGCGCACCUCAGCAGUCCUCCCACCUAGGCAGUAAUUAUCAGAAGACUGUAUAUUUAGCUCAGUAUUUAGAGGCCUGGGGCAUGGGAAGCAGGGCAUUGUAAAAUCACAGGUUAUUUAAAUCUACAUGGAAAU